GCCCACCAAAGCGACGAUCAGUAGCCGGCCUGAGAGGGUGGACGGUCCACAUUGGGACUGAGACACGGCCCAGACUCCUACGGGAGGCAGCAGUGGGGAAUAUUGCACAAUGGGGGAAACCCUGAUGCAGCGACGCCGCGUGAGCGAAGAAGUAUCUCGGUAUGUAAAGCUCUAUCAGCAGGGAAGAAAAUGACGGUACCUGACUAAGAAGCACCGGCUAAAUAC
Molecule: ribosomal RNA, 225 nt
Filed under: uncultured bacterium
Lineage: Bacteria
Description: partial 16S ribosomal RNA
Rfam family: Bacterial small subunit ribosomal RNA
Source: RNAcentral